GAUCUGAUCUUUGAUGAUAUGGAUGUUUUUCAAAUUAGAGUAAGUUGAUGAACAAAGGUUUUAUAAAUCAAUUUUAGAUCAUCUUAAUAUAAGGUUGUCCUGGCAUAACGAGGGUCGUUAUGUGAUAUAAUUUUCCUAGGAUGAAAAGAGAUUGAUACAUAAAACAUCAAAUGAAAUUAACAUAAACAUAAGGACUACGUAAUAGCCACAUAUGUAUUUUCAUUGAUAUAUGCAGGG
RNAcentral lists this long non-coding RNA (237 nucleotides) under Elaeis guineensis (African oil palm). Its description in RNAcentral is "long non-coding RNA (EGUI_LNC053186)". Lineage: Eukaryota; Viridiplantae; Streptophyta; Magnoliopsida; Arecales; Arecaceae. The record is from RNAcentral.